GUGCUUUCUCCAUCUUGCUAAUCCAAGAACAUUUCUUUUACAGGGCAUGUGUUUUAGGAAAGUCUCUGAGGAUUGUGCACUUGUGAUGUACAAGACCAAGAAGAAUUGAAGACUCUGCUCAGAGAUGAAUACCAAAAGCCAUGUGGUAUAGAGAGGUGGCUGUGAAGUCAGGAAGACCAGGAUUCAGGUUUUGGGUCUAAGACAUGCUAGUUGCUCAUCCCUGGACACAUCCUGAGACCAGCACUUUUCACUUUUCCAGCUUGGUGGGAGAUAGGGAAGCUUAUGCCCUUCCAAUAUGGCCUCGGUAAAGUCAAAAGCACCAUCAAGAGAUAGUAGAGGAGGCCCAGAGAGAAGAAAGAUGUUUCUUGAGAAAAUAGAUUCCAGUUAGAGGGGACAUAAAGACCAAAAAGCCUGCUGGAAUUCCCAUCCUUUCAUCUCUACUGAGGCAAACUACAGAUCAUGUUGUACUUGUAAAUAAAUGGCAGAAUUGAGAAAGAA
This 498-nucleotide long non-coding RNA is filed under the name Monodelphis domestica (gray short-tailed opossum). RNAcentral describes it as "lncRNA (ENSMODG00000046650.1)". Lineage: Eukaryota; Metazoa; Chordata; Mammalia; Didelphimorphia; Didelphidae. The record is from RNAcentral.